UGGGGAAUAUUGCACAAUGGGCGCAAGCCUGAUGCAGCCAUGCCGCGUGUGUGAAGAAGGCCUUCGGGUUGUAAAGCACUUUCAGCGAGGAGGAAGGUGGUGAGCUUAAUACGCUCAUCAAUUGACGUUACUCGCAGAAGAAGCACCGGCUAACUCCGUGCCAGCAGCCGCGGUAAUACGGAGGGUGCAAGCGUUAAUCGGAAUUACUGGGCGUAAAGCGCACGCAGGCGGUUUGUUAAGUCAGAUGUGAAAUCCCCGGGCUCAACCUGGGAACUGCAUUUGAAACUGGCAAGCUAGAGUCUCGUAGAGGGGGGUAGAAUUCCAGGUGUAGCGGUGAAAUGCGUAGAGAUCUGGAGGAAUACCGGUGGCGAAGGCGGCCCCCUGGACGAAGACUGACGCUCAGGUGCGAAAGCGUGGGGAGCAAACAGGAUUAGAUACCCCUGGUAGUCCAGCGCUGUAAAACGAUGUCGAUUUUGGAGGUUGUGCCCUUGAGGCGUGGCUUCCGGAGCUAACGCGUUAAAUCGACCGCCUGGGGAGUAC
RNAcentral lists this ribosomal RNA (540 nucleotides) under uncultured bacterium. Its description in RNAcentral is "partial 16S ribosomal RNA". It matches the Rfam family "Bacterial small subunit ribosomal RNA", at positions 355 to 883 of the family's 1533-position model. The record is from RNAcentral.